AUGUGCUGGCAAUGAACUGCCUGGCAUCUGACUCUCUAGCUUGAUCCAGACUGAUUAAGUCAGGGUGAAUCGAGUUUUCAUCCUCGCUUCUUCAUAACGAAUUUCCCCAACUGCCACGAUGCUUGCAAGAAUCCCUGAACUUGAGUAUUAGAAUCAGCAAUGACCCAAACCUGUGGAGCAUCCAGUGGGCAGGGUAGCAUUUCGAGGACAGUUGAAUGCUCAUAUAUAGCGCACCAUAUACACGGGGAGAGGCCAUCUGCCACGCUUUUGGAGGGACAUGAUCACAUUUGGGAAUUACACUAAGUGAAAUAGAAUGUUCAGAUUCCUGGAUUCUCACGAGUCAGGCUUCAGCUGGAGAACUUCGUGAUAGACACAAGUAGAAAUAAAUAAAACUACCAGGGUGACCUAAUGGGGACCCACUCAGGUCAACUGAGAGUUUGAGACAAUUUUAAGCAAGAUCCAGGUGAGAUCCUGAAACUGAAAUACUGAGCCAAAGAGCAGACUGCAGGUCUACGAGCUUAUGAUUGGACAGGAACAUGCAAUCAUCAAGCACAAUUAUAACCGAGGGCGGUUUGAGCUUUGCCAGAACCAGAUUCAAUGGAGAGCAAAAACUCAGACCAUCAACUUGAUCAAAGACACAUGAAAGAUGUGGAGAAAAUGAUCUUCAUUCUUACCAGUGGCUGAUGAAUAAGGAAAUAGAC
Peromyscus maniculatus bairdii (prairie deer mouse) is the source of this 701-nucleotide non-coding RNA. Lineage: Eukaryota; Metazoa; Chordata; Mammalia; Rodentia; Cricetidae. The record is from RefSeq and is a predicted model, not a curated record.